Molecule: ribosomal RNA, 601 nt
Filed under: uncultured bacterium
Lineage: Bacteria
Description: bacterial SSU rRNA
Rfam family: Bacterial small subunit ribosomal RNA (bases 1-518)
Source: RNAcentral
CCUACGGGAGGCAGCAGUGGGGAAUAUUGGACAAUGGGCGAAAGCCUGAUCCAGCAAUGCCGCGUGAGUGAUGAAGGCCUUAGGGUUGUAAAGCUCUUUUACCAGGGAUGAUAAUGACAGUACCUGGAGAAUAAGCUCCGGCUAACUCCGUGCCAGCAGCCGCGGUAAUACGGAGGGAGCUAGCGUUGUUCGGAAUUACUGGGCGUAAAGCGUACGUAGGCGGUUAUUCAAGUCAGAGGUGAAAGCCUGGAGCUCAACUCCAGAACUGCCUUUGAAACUAGAUAGCUAGAAUCUUGGAGAGGUGAGUGGAAUUCCGAGUGUAGAGGUGAAAUUCGUAGAUAUUCGGAAGAACACCAGUGGCGAAGGCGACUCACUGGACAAGUAUUGACGCUGAGGUACGAAAGCGUGGGGAGCAAACAGGAUUAGAUACCCUGGUAGUCCACGCCGUAAACGAUGAUAACUAGCUGUUCGGGCUCUACGAGCUGAGUGGCGCNGCUACGACAUUAAGUUAGUCCGUCCGUCGGGAGGUACGGUCGCGAGAAUUAAACUACGAAGAAGUAGUACGCGNGAGACGUGCGACGGACGACGACGAGGGAGGAGG